Molecule: ribosomal RNA, 458 nt
Filed under: uncultured bacterium
Lineage: Bacteria
Description: partial 16S ribosomal RNA
Rfam family: Bacterial small subunit ribosomal RNA
Source: RNAcentral
CCUACGGGAGGCAGCAGUGGGGAAUAUUGCACAAUGGGCGAAACCCUGAUGCAGCGACGCCGCGUGAGUGAAGAAGUAUUUCGGUAUGUAAAGCUCUAUCAGCAGGGAAGAAAUAGCGACCUUUGGGUCGCCAGACGGUACCUGAUUAAGAAGCCCCGGCUAACUACGUGCCAGCAGCCGCGGUAAUACGUAGGGGGCAAGCGUUAUCCGGAUUUACUGGGUGGAAAGGGUGCGUAGGCGGCAGCGCAAGUCUGAAGUGAAAUGCCGGGGCUUAACCCCGGAACUGCUUUGGAAACUGGGCAGCUAGAGUGCAGGAGAGGUAAGUGGAAUUCCUGGUGUAGCGGUGAAAUGCGUAGAUAUUAGGAGGAACACCAGUGGCGAAGGCGGCUUACUGGACUGUAACUGACGUUGAGGCUCGAAAGCGUGGGGAGCAAACAGGAUUAGAUACCCCUGUAGUC